GGCUCGCAGGCGGUUUCUUAAGUCUGAUGUGAAAGCCCCCGGCUCAACCGGGGAGGGUCAUUGGAAACUGGGAAACUUGAGUGCAGAAGAGGAGAGUGGAAUUCCACGUGUAGCGGUGAAAUGCGUAGAGAUGUGGAGGAACACCAGUGGCGAAGGCGACUCUCUGGUCUGUAACUGACGCUGAGGAGCGAAAGCGUGGGGAGCGAACAGGAUUAGAUACCCUGGUAGUCCACGCCGUAAACGAUGAGUGCUAAGUGUUAGGGGGUUUCCGCCCCUUAGUGCUGCAGCUAACGCAUUAAGCACUCCGCCUGGGGAGUACGGUCGCAAGACUGAAACUCAAAGGAAUUGACGGGGGCCCGCACAAGCGGUGGAGCAUGUGGUUUAAUUCGAAGCAACGCGAAGAACCUUACCAGGUCUUGACAUCCUCUGACAACCCUAGAGAUAGGGCUUUCCCUUCGGGGACAGAGUGACAGGUGGUGCAUGGUUGUCGUCAGCUCGUGUCGUGAGAUGUUGGGUUAAGUCCCGCAACGAGCGCAACCCUUGAUCUUAGUUGCCAGCAUUUAGUUGGGCAC
This 572-nucleotide ribosomal RNA is filed under the name Bacillus pumilus. RNAcentral's name for it is "bacterial SSU rRNA". It matches the Rfam family "Bacterial small subunit ribosomal RNA", at positions 566 to 1138 of the family's 1533-position model. The record is from RNAcentral. Lineage: Bacteria; Bacillati; Bacillota; Bacilli; Caryophanales; Bacillaceae.